GUGCACAUUUCAUUUUAUUUCUUUAUGUCAAGAGAAAAGAUGUUUCUGAUGUGCUAACUAAACCUCUGGAGGUAAAUUAGCAGCAUGACUAAUUUAGACAUUGCUAUCAGACACCAUCAGACAAAG
Molecule: small nucleolar RNA, 126 nt
Organism: Camelus dromedarius (Arabian camel)
Lineage: Eukaryota; Metazoa; Chordata; Mammalia; Artiodactyla; Camelidae
Source: Ensembl